Long non-coding RNA from Xenia sp. Carnegie-2017, 541 nucleotides. RefSeq lists it as uncharacterized. The transcript is spliced from 3 exons. Lineage: Eukaryota; Metazoa; Cnidaria; Anthozoa; Malacalcyonacea; Xeniidae. The record is from RefSeq and is a predicted model, not a curated record.
UCCAAACUUCACAUUUAUAACACUGGUUGAAUCUCUCAGGAUGAUCAAAAGGUUUCUACAACGUACAAUGAAGUUGAUUAUUGUGCUUGCUGUGACGUACUUUCUUGCUUGUGAAGGACGAUGGUUUCCGGAUGAGCUCGAACUUAGAAGUCAUGCUGUAAAAAGAUAUCAAAAACAACGACUCUGUCAUGAAGUUGUGGAAACUGUUUAUCCUAAAAUUCGUUUGAAUAAAGAUGGAAAUUUUCUUCCAUACAAGAUCUACUCGCUUAAAUGUAAACACGAUAGAGCAAAACCAUUAAGUAUCUCUGACUCGAGUGUCAUUUGCGAAACUAAAAAUAUACCAAUUAAAGUAUACGAGUUCGACGACGAUUGGAAGCUGAUACACAUUCAUGAUCUGCAUGAUGUCGGCUCAAAUUGUGUUGCUUAUAAAAUGUAGAUGACGAAGACUCUUGAAAGAAUUAUCUGUUAGUUAAAUAAUGCAUCAUACAUGAUAGUUUCAGACUGUAAGAAUUCAGUAAUAAUUACAACGACAAAAAUUCAA